RNAcentral lists this ribosomal RNA (197 nucleotides) under uncultured bacterium. Its description in RNAcentral is "partial 16S ribosomal RNA". It matches the Rfam family "Bacterial small subunit ribosomal RNA", at positions 335 to 524 of the family's 1533-position model. The record is from RNAcentral.
ACUCCUACGGGCAGCAGAGUGGGGAAUUUUGCGCAAUGGGCGAAAGCCUGACGCAGCAACGCCGCGUGAGUGAUGAAGGCUUUCGGGUCGUAAAGCUCUGUCAAGGGGAAAGAAGUGUAUUGUGGUUAAUACCCGCGAUACUUGACGGUACCCCUAAAGGAAGCACCGGCUAACUCCGUGCCAGCAGCCGCGGUAAU